Long non-coding RNA from Telopea speciosissima, 147 nucleotides. RefSeq lists it as uncharacterized. The transcript is spliced from 3 exons. NCBI's taxonomy places the organism in Eukaryota, Viridiplantae, Streptophyta, Magnoliopsida, Proteales, Proteaceae. The record is from RefSeq and is a predicted model, not a curated record.
GCUGUUGCAUCAAGAUAGCCAAAACACUGCCGAUUGAAAUGUUAAUUACAUUAACAGCGUCAUUAUUGAGCUGCAAAACAGAGUGGGGAGGUCAGUCAGCUCCAUUGAUGAUAUACAUAAAGUUCAAAAUCUGGAAGGUAAAGAAAG